AGACGGAGGGGGCUAGCGUUGUUCGGAAUUACUGGGCGUAAAGCGCGCGUAGGCGGUCCGUUUAGUUAGGCGUGAAAGGCCUGGGCUCAACCCGGGAACUGCGUUUAAAACUGGCGGGCUAGAGUCCGGGAGAGGGUGGCGGAAUUCCCAGUGUAGAGGUGAAAUUCGUAGAUAUUGGGAAGAACACCAGUGGCGAAGGCGGCCACCUGGCCCGGUACUGACGCUGAGGCGCGAAAGCGUGGGGAGCAAACAGGAUUAGAAACCCCGGUAGUCC
This 274-nucleotide ribosomal RNA is filed under the name uncultured bacterium. RNAcentral describes it as "partial 16S ribosomal RNA". It matches the Rfam family "Bacterial small subunit ribosomal RNA", at positions 523 to 796 of the family's 1533-position model. The record is from RNAcentral.